This is a long non-coding RNA of Syngnathus acus (greater pipefish), 137 nucleotides long. RefSeq lists it as uncharacterized. The transcript has 3 exons. NCBI's taxonomy places the organism in Eukaryota, Metazoa, Chordata, Actinopteri, Syngnathiformes, Syngnathidae. The record is from RefSeq and is a predicted model, not a curated record.
CCUGUGCCCUGAAUCCUAAUUGUGUGCACCUGUGCCCUUACGCUUCUGUGUGUAUUUAGUCAGUGUCUUCCCCUUGUCUUGUGCCAGUGCGUCUUGUCUCGUCAGGAGUACCAGCGAUCACGUGAUCCCUGAACUCU